Molecule: ribosomal RNA, 606 nt
Filed under: uncultured fungus
Lineage: Eukaryota; Fungi
Description: eukaryotic LSU rRNA
Rfam family: 5.8S ribosomal RNA (bases 224-377)
Source: RNAcentral
AGUAAAAGUCGUAACAAGGUCUCCGUUGGUGAACCAGCGGAGGGAUCAUUACUGAGUUUUUUUAAACUCCCAACCCUUUGCGAACAUACCUUUGUUGCCUUGGCGGAAGCGCCGCCCUGGAACGGCCUACCCUGUAGUGUCCCGCCCUGGGAGUCGCCCGUCGAAGGACCCCUAAACUCUGUUUUUAUUGUGGCACUUCUGAGGAUGAUUAUAAAUCAGUUAAAACUUUCAACAACGGAUCUCUUGGUUCUGGCAUCGAUGAAGAACGCAGCGAAAUGCGAUAAGUAAUGUGAAUUGCAGAAUUCAGUGAAUCAUCGAAUCUUUGAACGCACAUUGCGCCCACUAGUAUUCUGGUGGGCAUGCCUGUUCGAGCGUCAUUUCGACCCAUCAAGCCCUGUUUGCUUGGCGUUGGGAGACCGCCGGGCCUCGUCCCGGCGGCUCCUCAAAUCUAUCGGCGGCGUCGUAGCGACCCAAGCGUAGUAAUUCUUUCUCGCUUUAGGUGUCGGUGCUGAUGUCCGGCCGCUAAACCCCCCAUAUUCUUUUUAGGUUUGACCUCGGAUCAGGUAGGAAUACCCGCUGAACUUAAGCAUAUCAAUAAGCGGAGGA